RNAcentral lists this ribosomal RNA (276 nucleotides) under uncultured Sphingomonas sp. RNAcentral describes it as "partial 16S ribosomal RNA". It matches the Rfam family "Bacterial small subunit ribosomal RNA", at positions 30 to 333 of the family's 1533-position model. The record is from RNAcentral. Lineage: Bacteria; Pseudomonadati; Pseudomonadota; Alphaproteobacteria; Sphingomonadales; Sphingomonadaceae.
CGAACGCUGGCGGCAUGCCUAACACAUGCAAGUCGAACGAUGCUUUCGGGCAUAGUGGCGCACGGGUGCGUAACGCGUGGGAAUCUGCCCUUUGGUCUGGGAUAACUGUUGGAAACGACAGCUAAUACCGGAUGAUGACGUAAGUCCAAAGAUUUAUCGCCAGAGGAUGAGCCCGCGUCGGAUUAGCUAGUUGGUGGGGUAAAGGCCUACCAAGGCGACGAUCCGUAGCUGGUCUGAGAGGAUGAUCAGCCACACUGGGACUGAGACACGGCCCCA